RNAcentral lists this long non-coding RNA (322 nucleotides) under Numida meleagris (helmeted guineafowl). RNAcentral's name for it is "lncRNA (ENSNMEG00000008490.1)". Lineage: Eukaryota; Metazoa; Chordata; Aves; Galliformes; Numididae. The record is from RNAcentral.
GCACAGAAGACUUGUCAAUGCUGAUUUGUGAGAUAAUUAUUAAUGCAUUUAGGAUGAGAGGUUGGAAUCAAUGCCUGCACCAGGAAGACAACUCAACACAACUUUCCUUUAAUAAGUCAGCAGCCUCAGAAGAUGUAGCACACAGAUACCCUGACCUGCUUAUCACACAGCUGACUCUCAUCUUUCAAGGAGGUUAUGAUGAUCUACCAGAUUACACUCUGGCAUGAAACUGGAACGUGAAGCUUUACAUGGUUCCUAGCAACACAGGUUGCAAUGGGAUCACUAGAAUAAAAGCAUGCAGAAAUAAAAAAGGAGGACUUUC